This 324-nucleotide unclassified non-coding RNA is filed under the name soil metagenome. Its description in RNAcentral is "partial contains 5.8S ribosomal RNA, internal transcribed spacer 2, and large subunit ribosomal RNA". The stretch from base 1 to 120 matches the Rfam family "5.8S ribosomal RNA", at positions 35 to 154 of the family's 154-position model. The record is from RNAcentral.
GAUGAAGAACGUAGCGAAAUGCGAUAAGUAAUGCGAAUUGCAGAAUUCAGUGAGUCAUCGAAUCUUUGAACGCACAUUGCGCCCUGUGGUAUUCCGCAGGGCAUGCCUGUUCGAGCGUCAUUUCAACCCUCAAGCCCCGCUUGGUGUUGGGCCCCGCCCGCUGUGGCCGGCCCUAAAGACAGUGGCGGCGCCGCCUGGCCCUCAGCGUAGUACAUCUCUCGCUCCAGGGUCCGGUGGCCGCCUGCCAGAACCCCCCAACUCUGUGGUUGACCUCGGAUCAGGUAGGGAUACCCGCUGAACUUAAGCAUAUCAAUAAACGGAGGA